RNAcentral lists this ribosomal RNA (292 nucleotides) under uncultured eukaryote. RNAcentral's name for it is "partial 18S ribosomal RNA". It matches the Rfam family "Eukaryotic small subunit ribosomal RNA", at positions 6 to 318 of the family's 1831-position model. The record is from RNAcentral.
GGUUGAUCCUGCCAGUCAUAUAUGCUUGUCUUAAAGAUUAAGCCAUGCAUGUCCAAGUACAAACAAAUUUGUAUUGUGAAACUGCGAAUGGCUCAUUAUAUCAGUUAUAAUUCACUCAGCACUCACUUUCUACAUGGAUAACCGUGGGAAACCAGAGCUAAUACAUGCGCAAAGGGGCAGCAAUGCCUCGUAUUUAUUAGGUACAAAACCAACAUUUGGUUGAUUCACAAUAACUAUACGGAUCGCAUGGCCUUGUGCCGGCGACGGGCUGAUCAAAUUUCUGCCCUAUCAA